AAGGGAGACCUAAUUCAGGUAGGAGACGAAAAAAAAGUAGUCCCUACCAAGAAUCAAUCCCAAAAGGUCGGAGCGAGGCAAAAUUGGCUUUCAAACUAGGUUCUGGGUUCACACAAGACCUGAAUCAGGAACAAGGGCUAUUAGCUCAGGUGGUUAGAGCGCACCCCUGAUAAGGGUGAGGUCCCUGGUUCGAGUCCAGGAUGGCCCACCUGUACAGGUGGCAAAAACAAAGAAAAGAAGCGAGGAAUCAGCACCUUAUCUUACUUAUAUAGUAAGAGAGAAUGCUGGCUCUGAGUUCAGAGUCCAGAGGAACCUUGAAAACUGCAUAGAGCUAGGUGAAAAAGCCAAAAAAGAAGACCAUAA
RNAcentral lists this transfer RNA (363 nucleotides) under uncultured Microcystis sp. RNAcentral's name for it is "partial miscellaneous RNA". The stretch from base 135 to 208 matches the Rfam family "tRNA". The record is from RNAcentral. Lineage: Bacteria; Bacillati; Cyanobacteriota; Cyanophyceae; Chroococcales; Microcystaceae.